This is a long non-coding RNA of Miniopterus natalensis, 2129 nucleotides long. RefSeq lists it as uncharacterized. NCBI's taxonomy places the organism in Eukaryota, Metazoa, Chordata, Mammalia, Chiroptera, Miniopteridae. The record is from RefSeq and is a predicted model, not a curated record.
AACAGUCUCGUUAAUUAAAACUAUUAACGUGUGCCAGCGAGAUUAUGAGAUUGGCUCCUGUACGCCGCAUCCAGCUGCCAAGACACCGGUUAAGUUCUUCGCGCCUCGGGUUUGCUUCGCCCUGAGCAAGUCUUCGGGAAGCUCGGGGUCGCCGCCAUGCUUCACCCGGGGCUCCUUCCCGGCCCCGGAGGGGAGCGGGCUCUGCAGAGGGCAGCUCGGCCCGAAAGGCGGCCUGUCACGGCUGUGCAGCGGCCUCGCGGAGGACGAGCUGAGGGCCGAGCGAGAGGGAAUGGGACUGAAGCGAGGAGACCAGAAGGUGGUCCUCGGGAGACGCUCGCAAUCGCCUGUUUUUCUACAUCGCAAACAUAAUAAACGUAUAACACGUGUUUUGAAAAAUGCAGAAAAAAACAAAACUAAAGUCACCGUGCGGAGAUAAACAUUUUUAACAUUUUGACCUAUGUCCUGUCAGACUUUUUUUUUUUUUAAAUUCACUUACAUAGAGAUUUGCUUGGGGUUUUGUUUAACAUAACUGGCAUCUUGUGCAUAUUCCUUUUGAGACUUGUUCCUCCCUCCACUUACUGUAAUAAUGAAGAUCGUCCCAUGUUACGACAUGUUUUCCUAAUUACGAUUUUUAAUGGGCACAUCCUCCUUUCAUCCGUGCGCUCAGUAUGAAUUAGGUUUGGGUUCUUAAAUAUUUAAUACUUUAAAUAUUGAUAAAUAUUUUCAGACGGAUAAGUACAUAGACUAAUACAACUGUGUAGGCAGAAUAACGGCCCAGAAAGACUUCGGUGCCCCAAUUCCCAGGACCUGUAGUUACAUGGCGAGGGGAGCUAAGGUUACUAAUCGGCUGGCUUUAAACCAGGAGAAUUAGGCUGGGUUCUCGGGGUAGGCCCAAUUAAUCACAAGGGUCCUUAAAAGUGGAAGAGGAAGACAGAAAAAGAAAAUAAAAGGAAAAGAUGUGGUGAUGAAGAAGGAUCUGAGAGAUGCUGUGUUGCUGGCUUUGAAGUUGGAAGAAGGGGGCCCUGAGCCAAGGAAUGUGAGCGGCCCCCAGAAGCGGGAAAAGGCAAGGAAAUGUACUCUCCCCUCCAGCCUCCAGAAGGGACACGUUCCGGAGCCGGGACUUCAGCUUUGACGGUGUCGCAUGCUUUACAAAUGGAAGACAAGACCCUCCACCAGUAAAAGGAUUAGGUCUCUCUUUAUUGCAAUACUCACUUUGUUACAGUGGUCUGGAACCAAGCACGCAAUAUCUCUGAGAUCAAAAAGCAGAAAGUGGAAAUGAAAAAUAAGAGAAAGAAUGGACUACUAGACAAACCCAAGCCAGAUGACCUUGAAUAAAGAAGAGUUGACCUACUGGAUCAUUUUGCCCACCUGAGCAUAACGUAUAACAGAGUAAGAGCUCUAUAAGACAUUACUCUCUGACUUGUGAAUAGAGAGGUUUCUAUUAAAUAAAGAAUUUCAGGUUAGUAAGGAACAAUCCAACUCUAAUUGUUCCUUAUGUCAUGUCAAAAUCUGCUUGUUGUUAACUUAAAUUCACCUAUUGAGGUUCUUGCCUAGAAAGGAAACAGAAAAUACAUUCACUUAUUUCCCAAAUGACAGCCCUAGAGCUAACUGAGGAUGGCUUUACGUUUUCAGGACAAAUAUCACCAGCUCCUACAGUCUUUGCAGUUUCUCAUCACCCUUUUCGUGUUUCUCUGGACGUGCGCCACAUCCCUCUUAAAAUAGGCCCAAUGACUUAACACAUUGCGGCUCAGAAUAAUGUGGAACCAUUGCUUGUCUUAUUCUCAUCAUAUGUGUCAGUACAGCCCAAUAGCACAUAAGCUUUUUGGGCAGUGCAAUGGCACCACACGAUUGGUUUAUGUAAACUUAUAGCUGACUAGAAUCCUUAGUUUUUAAACUGUUUUUGAACCUCAUAUCCCUUAUGCUAUAAUUGCAUUUUAAGGAGUCUAAGUCCAGUGAAUAUUUUAAAAACCAUUGAAUUAUACCCUUCAAACCAGUGGGUUGAAUGAUAUGUGAAUUAUAUACCAAUAAAUCUGUUAAAAAAUAUAUAAGUGCAGGAAAGAAAGGCAAAUGUAUCUUAUUAAAUACUAAAUUUUGUAUUUUAUUAAAUAACUACUAAAAUUUGCCAGACA